CAGCCGCCGCGGUAAUACAGAGGAUGCAAGCGUUAUCCGGAAUGAUUGGGCGUAAAGCGUCUGUAGGUGGCUUUUCAAGUCCGCCGUCAAAUCCCAGGGCUCAACCCUGGACAGGCGGUGGAAACUACCAAGCUGGAGUACGGUAGGGGCAGAGGGAAUUUCCAGUGGAGCGGUGAAAUGCGUUGAGAUCUAAAAGAACACCAACAGCGAAAGCACUCUGCUGGGACGACACUGACACUAAGAGACGAAAGCUAGGGGAGCAAAUGGGAUUAGAUACCCCGGUAGUCCCUGUCUCUUAUAC
Molecule: ribosomal RNA, 301 nt
Filed under: uncultured bacterium
Lineage: Bacteria
Description: partial 16S ribosomal RNA
Rfam family: Bacterial small subunit ribosomal RNA
Source: RNAcentral